RNAcentral lists this ribosomal RNA (235 nucleotides) under uncultured Candidatus Saccharibacteria bacterium. RNAcentral describes it as "partial 16S ribosomal RNA". It matches the Rfam family "Bacterial small subunit ribosomal RNA", at positions 584 to 818 of the family's 1533-position model. The record is from RNAcentral. Lineage: Bacteria; Candidatus Saccharimonadota.
UAAGUUGGUAGUGAAAGCGUUCGGCUCAACCGGAUACACAUUAUCAAAACUGCAAAGCUAGAGGGCGAGAGAGGUUACUGGAAUUCCCAGUGUAGGAGUGAAAUCCGUAGAUAUUGGGAGGAACACCGAUGGCGUAGGCAGGUAACUGGCUCGUCCCUGACACUAAGGCACGAAAGCGUGGGGAAGCGAACGGGAUUAGAUACCCGGUAGUCCACGCCGUAAACUAUGGAUGCUA